CAGCCAUAUUGACUUCAGAGGUUGGAGGGGUGGAGGAGGAGGUAGAAGCAGCAGGGUUGGAGGGUUGGAGGAAAUAGUAGCAGCAGGGUUGUAGGGUUUUGAGGAGGAGGUAGAAGCAGUAGGUUUGGACAGUUGGAGGAGGUAGAAACAGCAGGGUUGGACGGUUGGAGACGGAGGAAGAAGCAGCAGGGUUGGAGGGUUGGAGGAGGAGGUAGAAGCAGCAGGGUUGGACGGUUGGAGGAGGAGGUAGUAGCAGCAGGGUUGGAGGGUUGGAUGAGGAGGUAGUAGCAGCAGGGUUGGCGGAUGAGGUAGAAGCGGUAGGGUUGGAGGAGGAGGUAGAAGCAGCAGUGUUGGACGGUUGGAGGAGAAGGUAGUAGCAGCAGGGUUGGAGGAGGAGGUAGAAGCAGCAGGGUUGGAGGGUUGGAUGAGGAGGUAGAAGUAGCAGGGUUGGAUGAGGAGGUGGUAGUAGUAGCGGGGUUAGUGUCGGAUGAGGAGGUAGAAGUAGCAGGCUUGGAUGAGGAGGUGGUAGUAGUAGCAGGGUUAGUGUCGGAUGAGGAGGUAGUAGCAGCAGGCUUGGAUGAGGAGGUAGAAGCAGCAGGGUUGGCAGAUGAGGUAGAAGCGGUAGGGUUGGAAGAGAAGGUAGAAGCAGCAGGGUUGGACGGUUGGAGGAGAAGGUAGUAGCAGCAGGGUUGAAGGAGGAGGUAGUAGCAGCAGGGUUGAAGGAGGAGGUAGUAGCAGCAGGGUUGGAGGGUUGGAUGAGGAGGUAGAAGCAGGAUGGUUGGAUGAGGAGGUAGUAGCAGCAGGGUUGAAGGAGGAGGUAGAAGCAGCAGAGUUGGAGAAGGAGGUAGUAGUGGCAGGGUUGGACGGUUGGAGGAGGAGGUAGUAGCAGCAGGGUUGGACCGUUGGAGGAGGUAGAAGCAGCAGGGUUGGAGGGUUGGAGGAGGUAGAAGCAGCAGGGUUGGACGGUUGGAGGAGGAGGUA
This 981-nucleotide long non-coding RNA is filed under the name Salmo salar (Atlantic salmon). RNAcentral describes it as "lncRNA (ENSSSAG00000095011.1)". Lineage: Eukaryota; Metazoa; Chordata; Actinopteri; Salmoniformes; Salmonidae. The record is from RNAcentral.